UUGACAGCCCUGGAGACUGAAGUUUUCAAUUUAUCCACGCAACAGGGCAGCAGAAGCGAAAGCCUCAGUCCUGACCCAGAAGGGCCACUUGUAAUGGUAAGGAGCUAUUUCAGCCUCUAUGCCUAUUUAGUCCGUGGUCACU
Unclassified non-coding RNA from Chelonoidis abingdonii (Abingdon island giant tortoise), 142 nucleotides. The record is from Ensembl. NCBI's taxonomy places the organism in Eukaryota, Metazoa, Chordata, Testudines, Testudinidae.